ACGGGUGAGUAACGCGUGGGUAACCUGCCUUAUACAGGGGGAUAACACAGGGAAACUUGUGCUAAUACCGCAUAACUCGGACUUUUGGCAUCAAAAGUCCGGCAAAGGAGUGCGUCUCCGAAAGGAGACGAAUCCGGUAUAAGAUGGACCCGCGUCCGAUUAGCUAGUUGGUGGUGUAACGGACCACCAAGGCGACGAUCGGUAGCCGGACUGAGAGGUCGAACGGCCACAUUGGGACUGAGACACGGCCCAGACUCCUACGGGAGGCAGCAGUGGGGAAUAUUGCGCAAUGGGGGAAACCCUGACGCAGCAACGCCGCGUGAAGGAUGAAGGUUUUCGGAUUGUAAACUUCUUUAGUCGGGGACGAAUAAUGACGGUACCCGAAGAAUAAGCCACGGCUAACUACGUGCCAGCAGCCGCGGUAAUACGUAGGUGGCAAGCGUUGCCCGGAUUUACUGGGUGUAGAGGGCGUGUAGGCGGGAAUGUAAGUCAGAUGUGAAAUACCGGGGCUCAACUCCGGAACUGCAUCUGAAACUAUGUUUCUUGAGUGCUGGAGAGGAAAGCGGAAUUCCUA
Molecule: ribosomal RNA, 574 nt
Filed under: uncultured bacterium
Lineage: Bacteria
Description: bacterial SSU rRNA
Rfam family: Bacterial small subunit ribosomal RNA
Source: RNAcentral